Molecule: long non-coding RNA, 223 nt
Organism: Notothenia coriiceps (black rockcod)
Lineage: Eukaryota; Metazoa; Chordata; Actinopteri; Perciformes; Nototheniidae
Exons: 3
Source: RefSeq, a predicted model, not a curated record
CGCCGACGAGAUAUACACAGAAGAGAGACUGGAGGGAAUAAACAGCGAUAACUGGAGUUUCCUGUGACUUAAAAGUGUUUGGAGGGUUGCAGGUGGACUGUUUACACAGCCGUGGGAACUAAGGAAGUCUUAAGGACUGCCUGGACAUUGAUCUGACAUCAAUGAAGACGGUGGCUUCUUGAGAACUUACGGUACUAUACUAUGACUUUUUAUGACAUUGUCG